GCUUCGGCGGGGGAGACCCCGCCGACAGAACGCAAACUCUGUAAUUAUUGCAUCUCUGAGUAUACUUUUAAUAAGUCAAAACUUUCAACAACGGAUCUCUUGGUUCUGGCAUCGAUGAAGAACGCAGCGAAAUGCGAUAAGUAAUGUGAAUUGCAGAAUUCAGUGAAUCAUCGAAUCUUUGAACGCACAUUGCGCCCGUCAGUAUUCUGGCGGGCAUGCCUGUUCGAGCGUCAUUUCAACCAUCAAGCCCCCAGGCUUGUGUUGGGAGCCUGCGGCUGCCGCAGCCCCCUAAAAGCAGUGGCGGGCUCGCUGUCAUUCCGAGCGCAGUAGUUACAUCUCGCUCUGGGCGUGGCGGCGGGUACCUGCCGUGAAACCACUUCUAAGGUUGACCUCGGAUCAGGUAGGAAUACCCGCUGAACUUAAGCAUAUCAAUAAGCGGAGGAAAAGAAACCAACAGGGAUUGCCCUAGUAACGGCGAGUGAAGCGGCAACAGCUCAAAUUUGAAAUCUGGCUUCGGCCCGAGUUGUAAUUUGUAGAGGAAGCUUCUGGCGCGGUGCCGUCCGAGUCCCCUGGAACGGGGCGCCAUAGAGGGUGAGAGCCCCGUAUGGACGGAUGCUUAGCCUGUGUGAAGCUCCUUCGACGAGUCGAGUAGUUUGGGAAUGCUGCUCAAAAUGGGAGGUAAAUUCCUUCUAAAGCUAAAUAUUGGCCAGAGACCGAUAGCGCACAAGUAGAGUGAUCGAAAGAUGAAAAGCACUUUGAAAAGAGGGUUAAACAGCACGUGAAAUUGUUGAAAGGGAAGCGCUUGUGACCAGACUUGCGCCAGGCUGAUCAUCCGGUGUUCUCACCGGUGCACUCUGCCUGGCACAGGCCAGCAUCAGUUUUGGCAGGGGGAUAAAGGGCGCGGGAA
RNAcentral lists this ribosomal RNA (907 nucleotides) under fungal endophyte. Its description in RNAcentral is "eukaryotic LSU rRNA". The stretch from base 387 to 907 matches the Rfam family "Eukaryotic large subunit ribosomal RNA", at positions 1 to 534 of the family's 3401-position model. Lineage: Eukaryota; Fungi. The record is from RNAcentral.